Long non-coding RNA from Eriocheir sinensis (Chinese mitten crab), 1238 nucleotides. RefSeq lists it as uncharacterized. Lineage: Eukaryota; Metazoa; Arthropoda; Malacostraca; Decapoda; Varunidae. The transcript is spliced from 2 exons. The record is from RefSeq and is a predicted model, not a curated record.
GUGUGUGUGUGUGUGUGUGUGUGUGUGUGUGUGUGUGUGUGUGUGUGUGUGUGUGUGUGUGUGUGUGUGUGUGUGUGUGUGCUUAUCUGUUUGUCUCUCGUGUAGCUCGAUAUCAAUUAAAUGAGGUCACGAAGCUGUAUGUGUUUGUUGCUCCCAGUACAAUGAUUGCGUAAUGGACGAGCGGUGUUGCGGCGGUCAGCAUCCAAAAUAGAUACGGUUGUGGACAUACGCUAUAGCUGGGUGUGGCCUCUGUGGUUAUCUCCGUACAGACAGGCUGCUCUUAAGACUCUUCAUAAUAUAUUAGAGGAUCUUGGAACCAUCACAACUCGAUGCAGUACCUACCCAGAUACAGCGUCAGUAGUAGUAGUAGUAGUAGUAGUAGUAGCAGUAGUAGUAGUAGUAGUAGUAGUAGUAGUAGUAGUAGUAGUAGUAGUAGUAGUAGUGGUGGUGGUAGUUGUAGUAAGUCAAACAUCUGUAUCCUCUGUAUCCCUCAUACCUGUGUUUUCCAACUCAUCUAUAGGCCUCACACACCUGCAUCCUGUAUCUUAACCCCCCAGCCGCACCCCCCACCCCUAAACUUUUCUAUAAAUACACGUGAACCGUUGGGGCGAGUUAGUUUGUUCUUCGCCGCCAAGCAUUUACCAACACACACCAUCCUACAAGGAGCCGCCACGAUGCGCUGGUCUCAUCUGGCGUUCCUAGUUCUGCUGAUUCCUCUGCUGCUGCCUUGGGACACCACUUCAGUAUACAGUGUGUGUGGGUGGAAGACUGGACGCCAUCAUAUCCUUCGACGAAACCCUGCUUAUUGGCGCCCUCGCCGCCUUGGUGAGAAGAAGGGUCGAAUGGGCUCGCCCAUUACAAACCGCAGACCAUGUCUGGUACGAGAUGCGAGUGGCGAGUGGCGCGAGGAUGCAAAAUGUCGAGCGAGGAAACGCAGGCUCUGGCACCGACGAGGCUCCAAAAACGACUAGCCACACCCACGACCACUACGUCCAGCCACACCUCAUUUACGACCACCAAUGCCAGCCACACCAUCACCACGACUACCGAGUCCAGCCACCACGAACAGCCAAGGACUGGCUGGACAGUAGUGGUGGGCAUAAUCGAUUAUAUUGAUUACAGGGAAGAAAUUUCUGUAAUCGAUUAUAAUUCAAUUACCAAACGAUUACUUGACAAUUAUUAAGUCACGAGUUUGUGAAUUCAAUUUUGAUUUUUGUAAAAUAAAGUUUCAGGUAUUA